Molecule: ribosomal RNA, 978 nt
Filed under: uncultured bacterium
Lineage: Bacteria
Description: bacterial SSU rRNA
Rfam family: Bacterial small subunit ribosomal RNA
Source: RNAcentral
AGUUUGAUCAUGGCUCAGGAUUAACGCUGGCGGCAUGCCUAAGACAUGCAAGUCGAACGAGGUGACCCAUUGAAGUUGGAGUGCUUGCACAAAGAUGGAUUUGGAUUUUCACCUAGUGGCGGACGGGUGAGUAACACGUGGGUAAUCUACCUUUAAGAUUGGGAUACCACAAGGAAACUUGUGCUAAUACUGAAUAUUAGAUGGAAAUGAUUUUUUUAUUUUGAAAGGUGCCUUUAAAGCACUACUUAAAGAUGAGCCUGCGGCGUAUUAGUUAGUUGGUGGGGUAAUGGCCUACCAAGACAAUGAUGCGUAGCCGAACUGAGAGGUUGAUCGGCCACAUUGGGACUGAGACACGGCCCAAACUCCUACGGGAGACAGCAGUUAGGAAUAUUCGUCAAUGGGGGAAACCCUGAACGAGCAAUGCCGCGUGAGUGAUGACGGUCUUUAAGAUUGUAAAGCUCUGUUGUAUGGGAAGAACAUUAUAUAUAGGAAAUGAUAUAUAACUGACGGUACCAUACCAGAAAGCUCCGGCUAACUACGUGCCAGCAGCCGCGGUAAUACGUAGGGAGCGAGCGUUAUCCGGAUUUAUUGGGCGUANAGCGUGUGUAGGUGGUUUAUUAAGUAUAANAUUAAAGCCCGAGGCUUAACCUCGGUUCGUUUUAUAAACUGGUAGACUUGAGUAUGGUAGAGGCAAAUGGAAUUUCUAGUGUAGCGGUAGAAUGCGUAGAUAUUAGAAGGAACACCGGUGGCGAAGGCGAUUUGCUGGGCCAUUACUGACACUGAAACACGAAAGCGUGGGGAGCGAAUAGGAUUAGAUACCCUAGUAGUCCACGCCGUANACGAUGAGUACUAAGUGUUGGGAUUUCCCAGUGCUGAAGUUAACACAUUAAGUACUCCGCCUGANNANNACGGUCGCAAGGCUGAAACUCAAAGGAAUUGACGGGCACCNNCACAANCGGUGGAACAUGCUNNUUAAUU